This 301-nucleotide ribosomal RNA is filed under the name uncultured Spirochaeta sp. RNAcentral describes it as "bacterial SSU rRNA". It matches the Rfam family "Bacterial small subunit ribosomal RNA", at positions 493 to 794 of the family's 1533-position model. The record is from RNAcentral. Lineage: Bacteria; Pseudomonadati; Spirochaetota; Spirochaetia; Spirochaetales; Spirochaetaceae.
CCGUCAAAAUCGGGGCGGGGAGCUGCGGUAAGAGUGAGGGUGCGGACGGGUGUGGGAAUUAUGGGGGGUAAAGGGCUGGUAGGCGGGUGGUGACGUCGGGAGUGAAAACUCGGAGCUUAACUCCGAGCCUGCUUCCGAUACGGGCCGACUAGAGGUAUGCAGGGGAGAACGGAAUUCCUGGUGUAGCGGUGAAAUGCGCAGAUAUCAGGAGGAACACCGGUGGCGAAGGCGGUUCUCUGGGCAUUACCUGACGCUGAGGAGCGAAAGUGUGGGGAGCGAACAGGAUUAGAACCCUAGUAUC